RNAcentral lists this ribosomal RNA (900 nucleotides) under uncultured Planctomycetota bacterium. Its description in RNAcentral is "bacterial SSU rRNA". It matches the Rfam family "Bacterial small subunit ribosomal RNA", at positions 9 to 918 of the family's 1533-position model. Lineage: Bacteria; Pseudomonadati; Planctomycetota. The record is from RNAcentral.
GAGUUUGAUCAUGGCUCAGAAUGAACGUUGGGCGGCGUGGAUUAGGCAUGCAAGUCGAGCGAGAAACCUCCUUCGGGAGGUGGAAAGCGGCGAAAGGGAGAGUAACGCGUGGAUACCUGCCCUCGGGUUCGGGAUAGCUGCUGGAAACGGCAGGUAAUACCGAAUGAUAUCUCCGGAUCAAAGGUGUGAUUCCGCCCGGGGAUGGGUCCGCGUCCUAUUAGCUAGUUGGUGAGGUAAUGGCUCACCAAGGCAACAAUGGGUAGUGGGUGUGAGAGCACGACCCACCUCACUGGGACUGAGACACUGCCCAGACACCUACGGGUGGCUGCAGUCGAGGAUCUUCGGCAAUGGGCGCAAGCCUGACCGAGCGACGCCGCGUGCGGGAUGAAGGCCUUCGGGUUGUAAACCGCUUUCGGAGGGGAUGAAAUGCGUGGGGGUUCUCCCCCACGUUUGACAUAGCCUCUAAAGAAGUACGGGCUAAGUUCGUGCCAGCAGCCGCGGUAAGACGAACCGUACGAACGUUAUUCGGAAUCACUGGGCUUAAAGGGUGCGUAGGCGGCGCUGAAAGUUGGGUGUGAAAGCCCUCGGCUUAACCGAGGAAUUGCGCCCAAAACUGCAGUGCUUGAGGGAGAUAGAGGUGAGUGGAACUUAGGGUGGAGCGGUGAAAUGCGUUGAUAUCCCAAGGAACACCAGUGGCGAAAGCGACUCACUGGGUCUUCUCUGACGCUGAGGCACGAAAGCUAGGGUAGCGAACGGGAUUAGAUACCCCGGUAGUCCUAGCCGUAAACGAUGAGCACUGGAUUGAAGGGUCCUCCACAACCCUUCAGUCGUAGCGAAAGUGUUAAGUGCUCCGCCUGGGGAGUAUGGUCGCAAGGCUGAAACUCAAAUGAAUUGACGGGG